CCCUCGCAUACUCAUUGUUGUCUCCAAGGUUGAUAUGACCACAACUGUACUAGGUUUUAAGAUAUCGACCAUGAUUGCUCCAACAGCAAUGUAGAAGAUGGCCCAUCCUGAUGGUAUGGUUUUCCUGCACCUUGGGUGUCUUUCAUUUGCACCAAGUUUCAGGAUGUAUACAAAUUUUAUUGCCUUUACCAUGACACUAUCGAAAUCAGCUGGCCUUCUUAGAUUCAUGAUCUGAAGUUGCAAUGUGGUAUCCUUUUUUCUUCUGCUUUUAUAUUGUGAAGUGUGGAUGAGUUUUUGAACCACAUGCUUGGAUAUCAUCUAAGAAAUUGAAUUACUGCAUUUAGUUGCUAUUGUCGCCUCAGGCAAAAGUGUCAAGCUAUCUACCAUAUUAAUAUUUUGCAUUGCUGCAUCUUACAAAUGAACCUUCUAAUGUUGAAUCUCUUGUUAUGCCUCAGGAGAGUAUGCUACCGCAAGAGCAGCAUCGGCAGUUGGCACUAUUACAGUUGACUAUUGUUUCUUGUGUUUUUUGUGGUCUAAUAAUUUGAUCCUAAUUAUACUUGAGCAUCAUAUAUGGACCUUAGAGACUAUCAAGAUCAUUCAGUUAGCCAAUAGACAAACUGCAGUUGCUAGGAAGUCAUGGUAAUCCGAGUGAUUGGACAAACAAAUUUUUGGCAUGACAAAGCUUCAUGUAGAAUUGAAUUUUGUCCACUUCGAAGUCCAUAAUUCUUUUUGCAGAAACUUAUUUUGGAAUUUCUUAUCAAACUUAUCUAAAUUGGUGACCAAGUUGGCUGACCUUUUUUCUACACAAAAGAAGAGAUAGCAUAUGGAGAUUGUGAGUAGCAAAUGUAAGUACAUUUUGGUGGGAAAUUUGUGUCAUGUUCAUUCUUGGUAUAGACUUCCUAUUAUUAUCUUGGUUAUGCAUUGACUGUCUUUGUAUGAAUAAUGGUGCUAUGCUUCAUGAAUGAAAACACCUCUUGACAGAUAUCUCUUCUGCACUGCAAAAUCCACCAUCCUCAAGAAAGAUAAUGACUAUGAACUCUUAUGUUCUGAUUGUCUCAAUGCAGAUUGAUUAUUAUUUAAGAAAAUUUAAGGAGGAAGUCAUUUACAGGACGAAGUGCAAUGCCUUAACUGUAUCAUAUACAAAAAUGGUGUCUGAGUCCCUGAUUUGGUGGAGCAAUCUACCAAGCAGCAUGGAUUAAUCAAGAGAACUGAAUAGAGAAGCACAAAUUUGUUAGAUUUGCUUCAUUGUGCACUUGAGACUUCCACUUGCCAAAACACUGUCAUCAUGGGCAACUUCCAGAAUCGAAGAGGUUGCUUCUACAGGACCAGGAAUUUGAUUCUUCCAGCUCUAUGUGUAUAAGGAUAGGCAUGUAGUUGCACAGCUUGUCCAAAGAACUGAAAGAGCAGGAUUCAAGGCAAUACCACUUACAGUCGACACUCCAAGACAUGGCUGGAGAUAAGCAGACAUCAAGAACAGAUUCACUUUGCCACCAUUUUUUACACUCAAAAAACUUUGAGGGUUUGGACCUUGGAAAGAUGGACAAGACCGAUGACUCUGGCCUUCCUCAUAUGUAGCGGGUCAAAUUGAUCGAUCAUUAAGCUGGAAGCGAGACUUGCCAUUCAAGCGGGUGCAGCUGGUAUCACUGUCUCCAACCAUGGAGCUCGUCAGCUUGAUUACGUUCCAGCUACAAUCAGUGCACUGGAAGAGGU
Molecule: long non-coding RNA, 1710 nt
Organism: Musa acuminata subsp. malaccensis (wild Malaysian banana)
Lineage: Eukaryota; Viridiplantae; Streptophyta; Magnoliopsida; Zingiberales; Musaceae
Source: RefSeq, a predicted model, not a curated record